CUUUCGGGUCUUAUAAUUGGAAUGAGUACAAUUUAAAUCCCUUAACGAGGAACAAUUGGAGGGCAAGUCUGGUGCCAGCAGCCGCGGUAAUUCCAGCUCCAAUAGCGUAUAUUAAAGUUGUUGCAGUUAAAACACUCGUAGUUGAACUUCAGACCUGGCCGGGCGGUCCCUCGUAUGAAGCGUGUACUUCCUGGCUGGGUCUUCACCUCUUGGUGAACUGGCAUGCCCUUCACUGGGUGUGUCAGGGAACCAGGAUGUUUACCUUGAGAAAAUUAGAGUGUUCAAAGCAGGCCUGUGCCCGAAUACAUUAGCACGAAAUAAUAAAAUAGGACAUGCAGUUCUAUUUUGUUGGUUUCUAGAGUCGCCGUAAUGAUUAAUAGGGACAGUUGGGGCCAUCAGUAUAGGGCUGCUAGAGGUGAAAUUCUUGGAUCAGCCUCAGACUAACUACUGCGAAAGCAUUUGCCAAGGAUGUUUUCAUUAAUCAAGAAUGAAGGUUAGGGGAUCGAAAAUGAUCAGAUACCAUUGUAGUCCUAACAGUAAACUAUGCUGACUAGGGAUCAGGCGAUCUCAGAAAUUUUUGAUGUGUCGCUCGGCACCUUACGAGAAAUCAAAGUCUUUGGGUUCUGGAGAGAGUAUGGUCACAAGGCUGAAGCUUAAAGGAAUUGAUGGAAGGGCACCACCAGGUGUGAAGCCUGCAGCUUAAUUUGACUCAACACGGGAAAACUCACCAGGUCCAGACAUGACUAGGAUUGACAGAUUGAUAGCUCUUUCAUAAUUUCAUGAGUGGUGGUGCAUGGCCGUUCUUAGUUGGUGGAGUGAUUUGUCUGGUUAAUUCCGAUAACGAACGAGACCUUACCCUGCUUAAUAACCCAGGCCGGCUUUCGCUGGUCGCCGGGUUCUAAGAGGGACUGUCUGCGUCUAGCAGACGGAAGUUUGAGGCAAUAACAGGUCUGUGAUGCCCUUAGAUGUUCUGGGCCGCACGCGCGCUACACUGACAGAGCCAGCGAGUUCAAUUAUCCUUGGCCGGAAGGUCUGGGUAAUCUUGUGAAACGCUGUCAUGCUGGGGAUAGAGCAUUGCAAUUAUUGCUCUUCAACGAGGAAUACCUAGUAAGCGUGAGUCAUCAGCUCACGUUGAUUAUGUCCCUGCCCUUUGUACACACUGCCUGUCACUACUAUCGAUUGAAUGGCUUAGUGAGGUCUUGGGAUUGGCUUUGGGAGCCGGAAACAGCACCCCGUUGCUGAGAACUCGAUCAAACUUGGUCAUUUAGAGGAAGUAAAAGUCGUAACAAGGUUUCCAUAGGUGAACCUGCGGAAG
Molecule: ribosomal RNA, 1315 nt
Filed under: Laetiporus sulphureus
Lineage: Eukaryota; Fungi; Basidiomycota; Agaricomycetes; Polyporales; Laetiporaceae
Description: SSU rRNA
Rfam family: Eukaryotic small subunit ribosomal RNA
Source: RNAcentral